Molecule: ribosomal RNA, 794 nt
Filed under: uncultured bacterium
Lineage: Bacteria
Description: bacterial SSU rRNA
Rfam family: Bacterial small subunit ribosomal RNA
Source: RNAcentral
AGAGUUUGAUCCUGGCUCAGGAUGAACGCUAGCGGCAGGCUUAAUACAUGCAAGUCGAACGGGAUCCGAGGUAGCAAUACUUUGGUGAGAGUGGCGCACGGGUGCGUAACGCGUAUGCAACCUACCUUUAACUGGGACACAACCCGCCGAAAGGCAGGCUAAUAUCCCAUAACAUUGCGAUGUGGCAUCACAUUGCAAUUAAAGCUCCGGCGGUUAUAGAUGGGCAUGCGUGACAUUAGCUAGUUGGUAAGGUAACGGCUUACCAAGGCUUCGAUGUCUAGGGGUUCUGAGAGGAUUAUCCCCCACACUGGUACUGAGACACGGACCAGACUCCUACGGGAGGCAGCAGUAAGGAAUAUUGGGCAAUGGACGCAAGUCUGACCCAGCCAUGCCGCGUGAAGGAUGAAGGCCCUAUGGGUUGUAAACUUCUUUUAUACGGGAAAAAACCUUCGGUCGUGAACCGGAGCUGAUGGUACCGUAAGAAUAAGCAUCGGCUAACUCCGUGCCAGCAGCCGCGGUAAUACGGAGGAUGCAAGCGUUAUCCGGAUUCAUUGGGUUUAAAGGGUGCGCAGGCGGAGUGAUAAGUCAGUGGUGAAAUCCUACGGCUCAACUGUAGAACUGCCAUUGAUACUGUCAUUCUUGAGUACUGUUGAGGUGGGCGGAAUGUGUCAUGUAGCGGUGAAAUGCUUAGAUAUGACACAGAACACCGAUCGCGAAGGCAGCUCACCAAGCAGAAACUGACGCUCAUGCACGAAAGCGUGGGGAUCAAACAGGAUUAGAUACCCUGGUAGUCC